AAAGAAACAGAGAGCAAAACAAAACAGAGAAGGGAGAAAGAAAGAAACAGAGAGCAAAACGAAACAGAGAAGGAAGGAAGGAAAGAAAGAAAGAAAAGAAAAGAAAAAGGGAAAUUUGGGGUUUUAAGGUUCAAAGUAAUUUGAUCAAGAAGUACGAAACUCGAGGUUAGACAAAGGGAAGAAUAAAGUUGAAGACUAAGUUGGUGAAUUUGGCUAUAAUUUGUACCGAGGUAAGUUUACGGUAAAUAAAUGCAAUAUUUCAAUAUUUAUUAUUAAUGCUGUUAAUUUCCAGCAAUUAUGAAUUUAUUUGAUGAUGAUCCAAGCAUGAAAUGAUAGAGAAUAAAAAUUUAAAAGUCCCGUUGAUACAUAAGGAUGGUACUGGAUACGAAUGUCAUGACAUUUGGGUAAAGAGAUCCCAUGUAAGACCAUGUCUGGGACAUGGCAUUGGCAUCCUUAAGAUCAUGAGAGGUCCCCUGUAAGACCAUGUCUGGGACAUGGCAUGGGCACCGAGACGAGAGGUCCCAUGUAAGACCAUGUCUGGGACAUGGCGUUGGCACCGAGAUGAGAGGUCCCCUAUAAGACCAUGUCUGGGACAUGGCAUGGGCACCAUCACGAGAACAUCCCAUGUAAGACCAUGUCUGGGACAUGGCUUUGGCAUGUUAUUAUCAGAAGAGACCCGAGUAUCCUUAUUAUUCCAAUGUAGUUCAACGGGCUUGUAAACGAAUCAUGUUCAUGAAAGUUCAGUUUAAAGCAUAAAUGGCAAGCUCAGGUAAGUUGUAAGACUUAAGAACUUAUUAUACUAUCAAUUGAUGUUCAACGAUGCAGCAAGGAUUGAGUAAGUUAUGCACACAAAUAUUCUAAGUAAACAAGUAAGAGAACUAGUAUGAGAUUAACUAAAGAGUAAACUAGAGAUAUAGACAUUGAGUUUAAUUAUUUAAGUUAAAUAUUGUUAUUUAUUUGCUAGUAAACUUACUAAGCUUUAUGCUUACUUCUUUUAUUUCUCUUUCUCUUAUAGUAUUGCAAAGCUACUUCAAGGAUCCUAAAGAAGUCGGAGAUCGUCCACACUAUCAACUACAACUGCUCGGUAUUUUAUAUCGAAACACGUUUAAGUUAUGGCAUGUAUAGGGAUUUAGUUAUUUUGUAUGUUUGUAGUGAUGAUUUUGCUAAUGAGUGAUGUGUAAGUAUUUGAUGAUGUAUGAUUAUUAAAAUGAUUAAGGAUGAAGGUGUUUGUUGUUAUGAAAGAUUAGGUGAUAAAUUAUGCAUGGAAAUCAUGAAAGGAUAAAAUUUUGCAAAGAAACAGAAUUCAGGCAGCACAGUGACGUGAAUUUGAAAAAUCACCCAAGAUAGUAUAAAAUGAAUUAGAGGGUGAAUGAUAUAUGGAAUUAAAGCUUGUUGAGUCUAUUUUCAUGGAAAAAAACGGUGUAGAAAAAAAGAAAUUUAUAUUUUAAGAUAUGUGAAUUUUAGUAAGAUAGGGUCAGAACUGUUUUUUUGGAGUCCCCUGUUCUGAGUUUAGAAAAUAAUUACAAAUUGUACAAAAAUGUUUAUGAGUUGAAAUUUACAUGCUUAGAUUCCUUGAUGAGUCUAUUUUCUAUAGAAACAAGUAAUAACUUCAUAUGAAAAUCCUAUAGUGAGAAAACUUAUUUUUAGUGACUAGAGGUCAGGGCAGUCUGGUGGUGACACAGGGGAGACUUUAACUAAUAAACUGUACUAAUUUGCUAAACCAAAAAUUCUAAAAAUUUUAUGGUGAGUAGAUAUAUGAGUCUAGUUUCAGGGAAAAUUUACGGGAUUAAAUUUCGAGUUCUGUAGCUCAAGUUAUAAUUAAUUUAGUAACUGCUGCGCGAUUAGACAGAUUUGCUGCGAAUAAUGAAAUAAAUUUUCAAACCUAGUUUUUAUGCUCCGAAUUGGUAAGAUAAGAUAAGUAAUUGUAACAGCCCAAUUUUCAGUAGUGUCAGAACAGUGAUUUGAGAUCACUAAAUUCGAUGAAGAAGUUAGAAAUAUUUUUGAAUUAGUGAAUUUUGUGAUUUAAAAGAAAUUAUUAGGUAAAUUGGGUCGAAAACGAGGUAUCGAGACCUCGAUAUUAUAAACUGAGCCGUAAAUAUUUUUAUAAAUAUUUACGGAGUGUCAAUAGGAUAAUAUUAAAGUUUCGUUAAGAAAUUUUAAUGUUUCGAUAGUUAAUUAUGAAAAAGGAUUAAAUUGCAAUAGGGAUAAAAGUUUAAUUAUAGAUUAAAGAAAAGUUAAAAGGACCAAAUAGGCAAUUAUGCCUUUUUCUAAAGUUGAGGCGGCAUAAUGAAAGAAAUAUCUGAGAUAUUCUAGUUAAUAUAUAUUAUAUAUAUGUAAGUAAUGAUUAUUAUUAAUAUUUUAUAUUAUAUUAUAUUAUAUAUAUAUAACAAAAGAAAGAAUAGAAAUGAGAAAGAAAGAAACAGAGAGCAAAACGAAACAGAGAAGGGAGAAAGAAGAAAAAGAAAGAGCGACGGUUCAGGGGUUUCAAAACUUCUAAAUUCAAUUGGUAAGUCAAUUUAGUCCAUUUUUCUUAUGGUUUUGAUAUUUUUGGAAUCCUAGAGCAAGAUACUACUUGAUUUAAGUGGAAAUUUUGGAAGUUAGUAGGUUAUUAGAUGUUGUUCAUGUUGAAUUAAUUGAUGAAUUAGAUGUUAAAAUGAUUGAAUUUUAAGUUAAAAGUUAGUAAAAGGUUGAUUUGUAAAAUAAAACAUAAGUUUUGAAUUGAUAGGAAUUAAAUUGAAAGAAUCCCGAAAUUAGGGAUUUAUGGGGAAAUUGAAGAAUUAAACUGAGUUUAUAGUAAGAAUUAAGAGAGAAUAGAGUUAGAAUGCAAAAAUAAAAUUAGUAUUGAUAAGGGAUUAAAUUAGAAUUUGAUGUUGCCAUAGAAGGGAAAAAUGUUCAGAAUGUUAUAAAACAUAAGAAUAAGAGAUGAAGUUUAAUUUCCGAGCCUUGGGGCAAAAAUAUAAUUAUGUAAAAGUUUAGGGGCAAAAUUGUAAUUUUGAAAAAGUUAGAGUCGAGGGCUAUUUUGAUGAAUGUGAUUAUUAAAUAAGUUAAAUUUACUAUUUUAGAUCAAGAAGUACGAAACUCGAGGUUAGACAAAGGGAAGAAUAAAGUUGAAGACUAAGUUGGUGAAUUUGGCUAUAAUUGGUACCGAGGUAAGUUUACGGUAAAUAAAUGCAAUAUUUCAAUAUUUAUUAUUAAUGCUGUUAAUUUCCAGCAAUUAUGAAUUUAUUUGAUGAUGAUCCAAGCAUGAAAUGAUAGAGAAUUAAAAUUUAAAAGUCCCGUUGAUACAUAAGGAUGGUACUGGAUACGAAUGUC
This 3312-nucleotide long non-coding RNA is filed under the name Gossypium barbadense (sea-island cotton). Its description in RNAcentral is "long non-coding RNA (GBAR_LNC003912)". The record is from RNAcentral. Lineage: Eukaryota; Viridiplantae; Streptophyta; Magnoliopsida; Malvales; Malvaceae.